AGUCGAAAAUAGCCGAUUCGAGGCGGACCACCAUCUCAGGCGGCGGUGCCGUCACCGGAGCAAGGCAGAGCCACCAUGCCAGAAUUCUGAAAUUGGUCAAUUGGGCCCUGUGACUGAUUUUGGAUUUGUUUAGGACAUUUGUAGGUAUUAUUAGCGCGUUUUGAUUCCCGAAGCAAAAUUCAGGGAACCCGGGAAUCACCCAUAUGCGCAAUCGAACAGUUUAGCUUUUCGAGUAUCAAAUCGAGUAAGGAUCCCUCACCCUAUUCUCUAUCAUAGAAUUGAAGUUUAAAUAA
This 293-nucleotide long non-coding RNA is filed under the name Carica papaya (papaya). Its description in RNAcentral is "long non-coding RNA (CPAP_LNC003204)". The record is from RNAcentral. Lineage: Eukaryota; Viridiplantae; Streptophyta; Magnoliopsida; Brassicales; Caricaceae.